Molecule: ribosomal RNA, 224 nt
Filed under: uncultured bacterium
Lineage: Bacteria
Description: partial 16S ribosomal RNA
Rfam family: Bacterial small subunit ribosomal RNA
Source: RNAcentral
GACGAACGCUGGCGGCGUGCUUAACACAUGCAAGUCGAGCGGUAAGGCCCUUUCGGGGGUACACGAGCGGCGAACGGGUGAGUAACACGUGGGUGACCUGCCCUCAGCUCUGGGAUAAGCCUGGGAAACCGGGUCUAAUACCGGAUAUGACUCCAUGACGCAUGUUGUGGGGUGGAAAGCUUGUGCGGCGUGAGGAUGGGCCCGCGGCCUAUCAGCUUGUUGGU